Molecule: ribosomal RNA, 468 nt
Filed under: uncultured bacterium
Lineage: Bacteria
Description: partial 16S ribosomal RNA
Rfam family: Bacterial small subunit ribosomal RNA
Source: RNAcentral
GACGAACGCUGGCGGCGUGCUUAACACAUGCAAGUCGAACGGAAAGGCCCUGCUUUUGUGGGGUGCUCGCGUGGCGAACGGGUGAGUAACACGUGAGUAACCUGCCCUUGACUUUGGGAUAACUUCAGGAACCUGGGGCUAAUACCGGAUAGGAGCUCCUGCUGCAUGGUGGGGGUUGGAAAGUUUCGGCGGUUGGGGAUGGACUCGCGGCUUACCAGCUUGUUGGUGGGGUAGUGGCUUACCAAGGCUUUGACGGGUAGCCGGCCUGAGAGGGUGACAGGCCACAUUGGGACUGAGAUACGGCCCAGACUCCUACGGGAGGCAGCAGUGGGGAAUAUUGCACAAUGGGCGGAAGCCUGAUGCAGCAACGCCGCGUGCGGGAUGACGGCCUUCGGGUUGUAAACCGCUUUCGCCUGUGACGAAGCGUGAGUGACGGUAAUGUGUAAAGAAGCACCGGCUAACUACGUG